CACACAGUUUGCAAGGCAUUUGUAACUGCAGUUCAGUUUCUUUGGAACGGACAGUUGAGAAGCUCCAGUGACCUUGGCUCAAACCAUGACUGAGCCAGUGACUAGCCAACCGGCUGCCAUCUCCCCUGUGACCAUGUCUUCUGAAGGUAGCUGGAGCACAGGCAGAUACGACUGCUGUGCAGACUGCCCCAUGUGUUGUCUGGGGUUUUUGUGCCCACAAAUCCUAUCCUGUUAUGUGUCGCACAAAUAUGGAGAGAACUGUUGCCUCGGGAUGGUGCCUGGUGGACCGACAGCAUUACGGACUCACAUGCGGCUCUCUUAUGGCAUCCCGGGUACCGUUUGUCAGGAUGCACUGUCCAUGUUCUGUUGUGGCUGGUGUGAACUAUGCCGCAUGGCUCGUGAAGUCCAUACCCGCUCCAAGAAUUCCUGAAAGGAGACUAGCUGGAAACUGCACUGCACUGCCGCAAACAUCAAGAAGAGCAGCUUGGACUGGUUUUUUCUCUCUUAAAAAAAGUAAUAUUUUUGUUUUAAACUGUGUUAAUAGCUUGGGUACCAAUACUGGAAGAAAGGUGAGGUAUAAAUGCUCUAAAUAAAUAAACCAAAG
This is a long non-coding RNA of Gekko japonicus, 604 nucleotides long. RefSeq lists it as uncharacterized. The record is from RefSeq and is a predicted model, not a curated record. The transcript has 3 exons. Lineage: Eukaryota; Metazoa; Chordata; Lepidosauria; Squamata; Gekkonidae.